RNAcentral lists this ribosomal RNA (433 nucleotides) under uncultured bacterium. RNAcentral describes it as "partial 16S ribosomal RNA". It matches the Rfam family "Bacterial small subunit ribosomal RNA", at positions 29 to 507 of the family's 1533-position model. The record is from RNAcentral.
AACGAACGCUGGCGGCAUGCCUAACACAUGCAAGUCGAACGAAGGCUUCGGCCUUAGUGGCGCACGGGUGCGUAACGCGUGGGAAUCUGCCCUUUGGUUCGGAAUAACAGCUGGAAACGGCUGCUAAUACCGGAUGAUUACGAAAGUUCAAAGAUUUAUCGCCAGAGGAUGAGCCCGCGUUGGAUUAGGUAGUUGGUGGGGUAAAGGCCUACCAAGCCGACGAUCCAUAGCUGGUCUGAGAGGAUGAUCAGCCACACUGGGACUGAGACACGGCCCAGAAUCCUACGGGAGGCAGCAGUGGGGAAUAUUGGACAAUGGGCGCAAGCCUGAUCCAGCAAUGCCGCGUGAGUGAUGAAGGCCCUAGGGUUGUAAAGCUCUUUUACCCGGGAAGAUAAUGACUGUACCGGGAGAAUAAGCCCCGGCUAACUCCGUG